UACGUAGGGGGCGAGCGUUGUCCGGAAUCAUUGGGCGUAAAGGGCGCGUAGGCGGCUUGAUAAGUCGGGGGUGAAAGCCUGUGGCUCAACCACAGAAUUGCCUUCGAUACUGUCGAGCUUGAGACCGGAAGAGGUAAGUGGAACUGCGAGUGUAGAGGUGAAAUUCGUAGAUAUUGGGAGGAACACCAGUGGCGAAGGCGGCUACCUGGACCGGUUCUGACGCUGAGGCGCGAAAGCGUGGGUAGCAAACAGG
Molecule: ribosomal RNA, 253 nt
Filed under: uncultured bacterium
Lineage: Bacteria
Description: partial 16S ribosomal RNA
Rfam family: Bacterial small subunit ribosomal RNA
Source: RNAcentral